UACGUAGGUGACAAGCGUUGUCCGGAUUUACUGGGCGUAAAGAGCGCGCAGGCGGUCGUUCAAGUCGAGUGUGAAAGCCCCCGGCUCAACUGGGGAGGGUCAUUCGAUACUGAUCGACUCGAAGGCAGGAGAGGGUAGUGGAAUUCCCGGUGUAGUGGUGAAAUGCGUAGAUAUCGGGAGGAACACCAGUGGCGAAGGCGGUUCUCUGGGCAUGAUCUGACGCUGAGGAGCGAAAGUGUGGGGAGCGAACAGG
Molecule: ribosomal RNA, 253 nt
Filed under: uncultured bacterium
Lineage: Bacteria
Description: partial 16S ribosomal RNA
Rfam family: Bacterial small subunit ribosomal RNA
Source: RNAcentral